AGAGUUUGAUCAUGGCUCAGGACGAACGCUGGCGGCGUGCUUAACACAUGCAAGUCGAACGAGGUCCAUCCUUCGGGAGAAGACCUAGUGGCGAACGGGUGAGUAACACGUGAGCAACCUGCCCCGAAGACCGGGAUAACAGCGGGAAACCGCUGCUAAUACCGGAUGUCCCCAUCUGACCGCAUGGCUGGAUGAGGAAA
This 200-nucleotide ribosomal RNA is filed under the name uncultured bacterium. RNAcentral describes it as "partial 16S ribosomal RNA". It matches the Rfam family "Bacterial small subunit ribosomal RNA", at positions 8 to 205 of the family's 1533-position model. The record is from RNAcentral.